This is a long non-coding RNA of Syngnathoides biaculeatus (alligator pipefish), 565 nucleotides long. RefSeq lists it as uncharacterized. Lineage: Eukaryota; Metazoa; Chordata; Actinopteri; Syngnathiformes; Syngnathidae. The record is from RefSeq and is a predicted model, not a curated record. The transcript is spliced from 3 exons.
AGAAAAUGCAUUUGCUCGUCGUGGGGGGGUGGUCAUCAUGCAUCCCAGCUGCUGUUGGGUCAACGGGCGGGAGGUCGAGUUCUUUGCAUACCCGAGUGUCGGGUGACAAUCACGCAGACAGGUGUUGACACUGCGUGUAUGGUAUAGAGCUCCUGCACGUGACGCCACCAUUUUCACGGCGCCGUAUUGCCGGUCAAAAAGAGCUGCUCGACAGUGUGGGGGACAUUGAACCAGAGCAGGAUAAUACACAACGCCCGAGACUUGUUGUGCUGUUGGUUGUUAAAAAGACGAGACAGAAAUUCAAAGAGAUCAUUCUAUGGAAUAACCAGCUGAAAAGACGAGAAAAUGGAUUUCAAUGGAUUUUGCCAAUUAACGUGAUGGAUGGCGCACAACCAAAUACACACGACUGUGGAGCGAUCACUUCACUUCAGUGUUUGGGAUCUGCAUGCGCAGACGGCGCGGGCUCACCAACAAAGCCGUCCCGUCCGACCAACUUCAAAGCCAGCUUGUCGGCAAGAACCGAAGAGUUGCCAUGGGCGAUGUUGGCAAAGGGCCCGGCGUGGAC